RNAcentral lists this ribosomal RNA (253 nucleotides) under uncultured bacterium. RNAcentral's name for it is "partial 16S ribosomal RNA". It matches the Rfam family "Bacterial small subunit ribosomal RNA", at positions 524 to 776 of the family's 1533-position model. The record is from RNAcentral.
UACGUAGGGUCCGAGCGUUGUCCGGAGUUACUGGGCGUAAAGCGCGCGCAGGCGGCGGUGCUGGCCCGGCGUGAAAGCCCCCGGCUCAACCGGGGAGGGUCGUCGGGGACCGCACCGCUUGAGGGCGGUAGGGGCUGGUGGAAUGCCUGGUGUAGUGGUGAAAUGCGUAGAGAUCAGGCGGAACACCCGUGGCGAAGGCGGCCAGCUGGGCCAUCCCUGACGCUGAGGCGCGAAGGCGUGGGGAGCGAACGGG